UGCCAAAACCAAAGUCCUGCAUUCGACCAGAACUAACACAACCACCAGAACCUUAGCAGCUCAGCCACAAAAUGAUCAGCACACAACUUUCAGACCAAAUCUUCCGGCCAUUAAUCCCCGCCGCGUGUGUCAAUUUCCGGCGGCUGAUAACCACUAAGUCCAAACUACUGCCCUGCCCACGCCCUAAAUCUUUGAAACUCAAACACUUAGCCCAAAACUCCAAAUGGGCUAUUAGGCAGCUUAGUGGACCAAAGCCCGCCAAAAUUGACGUUUGACGUGGAACGGUUAGUAGGGUUUUUGUACGAGGAUCUGGUUCAUCUUUUUGAUGAUCAGGGAAUUGAUCGGACGGCGUAUGAUGAGGGUGUGAAGUUCAGGGACCCAAUCACCAAGCAUGACACUAUAACUGGGUACUUGUUGAACAUAGCCUUCUUGAAGAUUGUCUUCAUGCCUAAGUUCAGUUGUACUGGGCCAAACAGGCCAAAUAACUAUUUGAAUUAGAGAAACAAUACCUCAUUGAAUUGGUACAGUUGAAUUUUGCAAUUAAGCAUUCGUGUUAAUCACACUUGAAUAAUGCCACAAUUUUAUGUGGACUGUGCCUGGUUUUACUGACAAAGUUGCUAUAGACAGACCAUAUGAAUUCACUACAUGGUGGACCAUGGUUAUGAAGUUCAUCCCUCUACCCUGGAAACCAGAACUGAUCUUUACAGGAACCUCUGUCAUGGGCAUCAACCCCGAGACCGGGAAGUUCUGCAGCCAUGUCGUAGGAACUCCCCUGUCUAAUGUCAUUAUUUGUAUUGAUUUGGUAAUGUCGAUAAUGCAAUAAAGAACAAAAGUCUUGUCCAGAGACGAAUUGGUACUAUCUAUAACAACUUUAGUAAUUCACCAUCCUUUGAUGUGCAGUCUCAGUAUUCACUUGCCAAAACCUUAACCCUUGAACAUUCGUACAGAUUCUUACCCUUUUUGUAUGUAAAACCUCUGCAGCUGAGGAUUUACAAAACUCCAGACUUGGAAACACCCAAAUAUGAUAUUCUAAAAAGAACUGCAAACUAUGAGGAUGAUUUGGAUGAUGGAAUCUGUUUAGGCAAUCUUUGGAAAGAACUCGAAAAUGGAGAAGAUACCGAUGACUACUCCAGUCUUCACUGAGGCAUCUGAUGCCGAACUUUCCAAAGCAUCCAUCAAAUUAGUCUGAUCAGAGAUGGUCUCAAACCAAAGGAGGGUUGUUCGCUUGCUCGUUACAACGAUCCAGGCCGGACUUGGAGCUUUAUAUUGAGGAAUGAAGUGCUUAUAGGGCUGGAAGAGUUCACAUUGGACUAGCACAUUGAACGCGUUCUUCGACAACUCUCCCUGUCGAUCAUUUUUCCCUACACGCACAGUAAUAGUUUAUUUUCGGCUAACAAGGUACUAAAAGAGUUUGAUUUAUAGAACUAUGAUCUGAUACCGUGUAGAAUUAUGAGAUUAUAUUUAUAUCUUAAUGUACAUAUUUACACAAGUCAGUGACUUGAGAUACAAGCAAGUUACUUGAUUUAUAAGAAUACAAGUAAUCAUAUCCUAAGCAUAGAAUUCUUAGCGGAUUCUCAUUCUGUAACAUCUUCCCAUUGAUGGCUUCUAUUGAAUGAAUAUAUUCACAUA
This is a non-coding RNA of Malus domestica (apple), 1629 nucleotides long. NCBI's taxonomy places the organism in Eukaryota, Viridiplantae, Streptophyta, Magnoliopsida, Rosales, Rosaceae. The record is from RefSeq and is a predicted model, not a curated record.